This 467-nucleotide ribosomal RNA is filed under the name uncultured bacterium. Its description in RNAcentral is "partial 16S ribosomal RNA". It matches the Rfam family "Bacterial small subunit ribosomal RNA", at positions 28 to 507 of the family's 1533-position model. The record is from RNAcentral.
GAUGAACGCUGACAGAAUGCUUAACACAUGCAAGUCAACUUGAAUUUGGGUUUUUAACUUAGGUUUGGGUGGCGGACGGGUGAGUAACGCGUAAAGAACUUGCCUCACAGCUAGGGACAACAUUUGGAAACGAAUGCUAAUACCUAAUAUUAUGAUAAUAGGGCAUCCUAUAAUUAUGAAAGCUAUAAGCGCUGUGAGAGAGCUUUGCGUCCCAUUAGCUAGUUGGAGAGGUAACGGCUCACCAAGGCGAUGAUGGGUAGCCGGCCUGAGAGGGUGACCGGCCACAAGGGGACUGAGUCACGGCCCUUACUCCUUCGGGAGGCAUCGGUGGGGAAUAUUGGACGAUGGACCAAGUGUCUGAUCCAGCAAUUCUGUGUGCACGAUGAAGUUUUUCGGAAUGUAAAGUGCUUUCAGUUGGGAAGAAAGAAAUGACGGUACCAACAGAAGAAGUGACGGCUAAAUACGUG